RNAcentral lists this ribosomal RNA (251 nucleotides) under uncultured prokaryote. Its description in RNAcentral is "partial 16S rRNA". It matches the Rfam family "Bacterial small subunit ribosomal RNA", at positions 525 to 775 of the family's 1533-position model. The record is from RNAcentral.
ACGGACUGCGCGAACGUUAUUCGGAAUCACUGGGCUUAAAGCGUCCGUAGGCGGCCGUGCAGGUGGGGUGUGAAAUCCCUCGGCUUAACCGAGGAAUGGCGUUCCAAACCACACGGCUUGAGAGAGAUAGAGGUGAGCGGAACUCACGGUGGAGCGGUGAAAUGCGUUGAUAUCGUGAGGAACACCGGUGGCGAAAGCGGCUCACUGGGUCUCUUCUGACGCUGAGGGACGAAAGCUAGGGGAGCGAACGG